Hirundo rustica (Barn swallow) is the source of this 2772-nucleotide long non-coding RNA. RefSeq lists it as uncharacterized. The transcript is spliced from 4 exons. The record is from RefSeq and is a predicted model, not a curated record. Lineage: Eukaryota; Metazoa; Chordata; Aves; Passeriformes; Hirundinidae.
AAAGGAGCUGGAAAGGGGAGAGGAGGAGGACGGCUGUGAUUCCUCCUCUUCCUGGGCUGGAGAUGGAGCAGCUCCUGGCUCUGAGCACCAUUUGCAGCCAGGGAUUUGCAGGAUUUGGAUGAAACUCUUUGCUGCAACAACUCAUUUUGGGAGAGUUUGCUGCAAAACCUGCAUCCCACCUGGAACUGCAGCCUCUAUUCCCAACGGAGGAGCCUUUUUCUCCCAUCCUGGAUGCUGAGACGGCCCAGAGCCUCCAGCCAUGGAGCUGGGCUGUCCCUCCAUGGAUGCCAUCCCCAUCCUGGAGCUGCUGGAGCAGGCCUGGCCCUCCCAACCUCAGCAGGCGUUUGUGGGAGCCCAGGGAGCUGAGCUGGGAUAUCCCAAAACCUGGCUGAGCGCCCCAGAGCUCCCUCCCUGCUGGCCACCGGCGGCUUCUGAGCUGGGACGGAUUUGGUCCGGGACAAGGGAGGUGAAGAUGGAGAAUGGAAGUGAAGGACGAGCUUGGAGCUGGCAGCAGCAGGGCUUUUCCAGCUCCAAAGACCACGGGGUUGGGAAGAGGAGCCACGGAGAUGCCGGCUCUGGCCGUCAGCAAAUCCAGCAGAUCCAGGCAUAAAGGGCAGGUAACAGAGGCAUUUUUAAGCUGUGUUUGCUGGCUCCUCCAUCCAUCCAUCCUGCCUUUACCAGCUCUGCCAGCAUGGAAUCAUGCAAUAUCCUAAAUGGGAAGGGACCCACGAGGAUCUCUGCAAUCCAACUCCUGGCUCUGCACAGGACAAGCCAGCAAUCCCACCGUGUCCCUGAGAGUGUUGUCCCAGCUCUUCCUGGCCUCUGCCAGACGUGGGGCUGUGACCAUUCCCUGGACAGGGAGACUUUAACAGCUGGCUCCAGAAUCACCCUGGAGUUUGGAAAGAGGGUUAAUCUGGGCUCAGGACUUGGUGUGAUGAUGCAGAAAUGAAGAUGCAGAAGAGGAUAUUUCCCUUUGAGCUCCUCACAGGUGAAUUUCCUCCUCCUGAGGCUCUCUGGGUGGAUGAAAUGGGGAUGUUGGAAGCUGGCAGGUGUUGGACUAGAGAUCUCCAGAGGUCCCUCCCAGCCUACGUGCUUCUCCAGGUGCUGGAAUUAAAUGUCCCGAGAGAUGCAGCUGCCUGCAGUCACCAGGACUGGUGUUGGGAUGUUUCCUUUUGCCUGAAUGAUUUCACACCUGGCACUUCACCCCUGCCCUCUCUCCUGCUCUGCCCCCAGCUUGCCCACUCUUCUUCCAGAGCAGAACUGUGAGAAGUUUUGUUGCUCCCAGGCUGCCUUCCCACCCCUUAUCCUCUCUCUGAGGAGAAGCUUCCUCUGGUGUCUCAUCCCUUCUCCCCUCCCCAUGCUCGGGCUGUCAUUCAUUGUCCCAUUCCGGUCCCCUUGUUCCCUUCCUGAGCACACUCACAUUGGAUAUUAGGAAAUAUUUCUGCCCUGAAAGGGUGGUCAGGCACUGGCCAGGCUGCCCAGGGCAGUGCUGGGGUGGCAGGGAUUUAAAAGCUGUGUGGAUGUGGCUCUUGGGGACAAGGAUUAGUGGCGGCCUUAGUGCUGGGGAAUGGUUGGACGUGAUGACCCCCGAGCGCUUUAGGAUCACAAAAAUCCCGGGAUUCUGUGGGUCACCUGGAAUGUUCCUUAGACCCCUUAAAAGCAGGAUGGGGCUUACAAAGCUCAGCUGGGCCUUGUGGUGUCCCCAGGCCCACCCUGGCAGGGCUGACAGUGAGAGCUGCCUGGAGCAUCCCUUCCCGACAUUUCCAAAGGCGGGAGCUCCACAGCUCCAUCGUGAUGCCCACCCUGCCCAAACAGGGAGCUUCUCCUGGGGCUUGCCUGCCCUGCUGAUGAGACCCUGUGCUCUCAGUGUGCUCAUAUCCCAGAUGCCAGAGUAGGAACCAGGACAUCCCCUCACCCAAGUCCUGUGUUUAAUCUCCAGCUCUCAGCUCUGAGUGGCAAUAUUUGCCUGGGCUCUGAGCCAUCUCUCCUGCCCUCUCCACCGUGGGGCACGUGGAGGUGGCAGCUGCUUUAGCAGAGCUGCUGCUGGGGCCCUUUCCUGCCCUGCAUCCCAUCAUUGGUCAUGUUUCAUGUGGCUCCUCCGCUUGCAAUUUGUCAGGGCUUUAUCUGAACAUCUGCAUCCCGGCCUCUUAUUAAGCCCUUAGAAAAAUAGAAGUGUCUGAUGCCGGAAUAGCUUUAAAUUUGGAAGCAGAGUGGGAGUAGAUGGGAGAAAAUGCAUUGCCCUUGAUGUAAUCAUCAGAGGAGGACAGUUCUGAACAAUGACCAGAUCGUCCUCGCCCCGAUGAUGACAGCAAUUUCUGACUUAUCACCCCCCAGCACUAUAUUAAGGCACUGAGAUUACAGUGUUAUUCAUUAGCACCACAUCUGCUGGAAAUCAGCGUGGGGAAGGCUGCUGAGGGUGCUAAAGCGCUUCAGGAUGGCACAGAGAGCGUACUCCCCCCAAAAGGGAGAAUCAUGUCCUUCCCCUGCCGGGGGUGGCUCGGCGCUGAUGGGCCGUGACCCCGCGGGCAGCCCUGGAUGGAGCUGCCGGGGACAGGGGCCGCUGAGAGCAGCAGGUGCCAGCCCUGCCCACCCAGGGGGCUUGGCUGAGGCUCUUCCUUUGUUCCUGCCUGUUCCAAGGGGUCUCUUCCUGUCCUGGCACAGCUCUUUGCAUGGCACAUCAGGUUUAACCCAUGUCACAGCUUCACUUCCGUGCCAUGGAAUGAAGAUCCCGUUUCCUGCAUUUUGAGGCUCUCAAAGAUUCUCGGUCUCCAU